This 441-nucleotide ribosomal RNA is filed under the name uncultured bacterium. RNAcentral describes it as "partial 16S ribosomal RNA". It matches the Rfam family "Bacterial small subunit ribosomal RNA", at positions 338 to 795 of the family's 1533-position model. The record is from RNAcentral.
CCUACGGGUGGCAGCAGUGGGGAAUAUUGCACAAUGGGCGAAAGCCUGAUGCAGCAACGCCGCGUGAGUGAGGAAGUAUUUCGGUUUGUAAACCUCUAUUAGCAGGGAAUAGAAAAGAAGGUACCUGAGAAAGAAGCCACGGCUAACUACGUGCCAGCAGCCGCGGUAAUACGUAGGUGGCAAGCGUUAUCCGGAUUUACUGGGUGUAAAGGGAGCGUAGACGGAAAGGCAAGUCAGCUGUGAAAACCAAGGGCUCAACCAUGAGACUGCUUUUGAAACUGUCAAACUAGAGUACAGUAGAGGUAAGAGGAAUUCCGAGUGUAGCGGUGAAAUGCGUAGAUAUUAGGAGGAACACCGGUGGCGAAGGCGUCUAACUGGACUGAAACUGACGUUGAGGCUCGAAAGCGUGGGGAGCAAACAGGAUUAGAUACCCCUGUAGUC